UCACCUUCCCCUGCCUUACCCAGGAAGAGACUGGCAUCAUUCACCUUCCUCUGCCUUACCAAGGAAGAGACUGGCAUCAUUCACCUUCCCCUGCCUUCCCCAGGAAGAGACUGGCAUCAGUAGGCAGAAGUUUCAAUCAUCUCUCUCCCUCCCUUGAGCAUGGUGAAAAGAAGCCACGUUUCAGCUCUUUUUGCCCUGUAUUCCCUUUAGGAGAUUCUACCCAACCUCCACAGAAGCUAUUCCCACUCCACACACACACACACCAUCCCCAAAGCAGCCCCAUCAUUGACAGAAAUAUAUUGCAAAAGCUACCCAGCAGCCUUAUAGAAGCCAGCAGCCAGAAGUGUGCAACACAUGCUCUGAUCUCAUCCCUGUUAUUCUGCUAACUCGUAGUAUGAUCCCAUAGCUCUGGCCUGAGGACUGUAAUCUAUUUUCUCUUUCUCAGCUAGUCUUACAGGUCAAGUGCUCACACCUGCUAUUACUCUAACUGGUGAGUGAUUUGCAAUUUGAUUGUGGAUACCCUAAUCAUAGGACGCUCUUCUUCUAAUAGGUAUUAACAUACUCAUUCCUUUACCUAUGUACUGAUUGCUAGCCAAUGUGGUAAAAUGACACACCACUUCCAUAAGACUCACCCCCUAUACUUGGACAGCAAGCUAUACGUGUCUUUCUUGCAAUUGGGAAUCUUAAAUGCACCAAAGGUGCGUCUAGACUAAGAGACUAAGCAAAGCAUUCUGUCACAGAUCUCAUGAGGCUACAAGUGCUUAUUUUUUCAGUGGAGACCACAGGAAUGGCUAACACAUGUAACCAAGUACAGACGGUAUGGCACACCUAACUUGUCCAUAGUUACCAAUUACUCCUUGGCCUCAAAAAACAGAAACUUGCUGCAACUACAAAUACAGUCAUCAGUGGCAUAGCAACCCUUCUUCCAUUUGCUCCUGUAACUCUUCGUCUUGCUAGUUUCAAUUUCCUUUUCUCACGUAUGCACAAAUGUGAAUGAUCCCCACUCCUAUGCUCUUCAGUCAGAUAUGCCUUUAUGCCAAGGAAAACUUCUUUAAUGAUAUUUAUUCACUGAGGCCAUGAAACCAUUGUUUCUCAUUACCAGGGAUGAGCUCUACCCAGCCAGGCUACAGGUAGUGGGCAUGUGGAAUUCUCCUUCCUGUUAUCAGGAAGAAGGACCUCACUUCAGAGUUAUUAUUCCCAUAGAUUUUCAAAGCACCCUGAGCGAUUUUCCUGGAUUACCAUGAGGAAGGUUCAGGAAGGGAGAUGGGUAUCUGGUGAGGGGGUGGUAGUACCAGGACUUCUCAGAUGGAUGUCCCCCAUGUUCCAGUUACUUGCCCAUCCAUUCUCAAGUCAAAACCCCUCCUCUACUUCCAAAUUCUGCAGGCAGUCUCAAGACCCCGAGGAAGUCAAGAGUCUUGGGAAGGAAGGUCCUGGAAUGCCUGUCUAUCAGAUUAGGUUGCUAAUUUCCAAACUGAUCAGGAGACAAGAGUCUGGAACCUGGCUGAGACUACCAUGCAGAUGAAUACUGCCUCAAAGGGUUCUGUCCAUCACCAGGCCUGCUGUCCAGGCAGCUCUAAGAGACUUCCUCACCAAGUAGCCCAGAGGCCAGGUCAUGGAGAAACAAAGCUGAUACUGACCUGGAAGUUCCCUCCUUACUGGCUGGCCUUCAUAGUGUUGAAAGGUGCUUGGGGGAGAAGUGUCACCCACCAUUUCUGUUCAGUUAUGGACCCUGUAUACUACAAUCCCAGAAUUUGUCUGCUGGCACAAUACUGGCAUGACUAUUAUGGAUACACCCACAGUUUUCUGAUUGGAUUUAAGGCCUCUUUCACCAGAAGGAAUUCAUGUCUGGUACUGUAAGCCAGAGCAGAAACCUGUGGCUGGAAAGUUAAAGCCCCAGUGGGGAAGCAACUGUUAUUGUUUUGUUAAGUGGAUGUGGUAAGUCUGUCAGUCUGCCUUCUAAACAUUUGUGCUUACUUACACCCAUAGAUCACUGUUUCUGUCAGCUGCAAUUGAUCAUGGAAGGAAACUUCCUUCUCGGAAAUGAUGGUGUGUGACAGAGACUCAACCACUGAUGAAGAUCCUGAGAAUGAGUGACUAUUACUGUGGCAUAGUGGCCGAAUACUUAAUCAGAAGCACACAUCAAUAUCACCCUCUCCAAGGCUCAGGGAACAUUGCGGAAGAGGGGACGGAAAGAUUGUAAGAGCCAGAGGAAGGGGUGGAAUAUUGUGUACCAUUUGUUUGUUUGUUUGUUGUUUUUCCCAGAAUUGAAAUGUUCCCUCUAGAAGGGAGGUGAGAGGCUCACCCAACUCAAGAAAUAAACAACUCACAAAUCUGAGGAAGUUCCUAAAGCUAAAAAGAUUCACAAGACCCCCCUCCCCAAGGUUAUAGAUAUAAGAAACAACUGCUGGGGGAGUGAUUCUCCUAAAUAUGGAGGUUUGCUGUUUGCAAACCCUGUAGAGAGUUAUCACCUAUGAAGCAUGGUCAUUUCAGUGCUACAGUUGCUUAUGAGUCACUCAUACUCUUGCAAGCAACCCCAUAUUUUUGUAAAUAAAUCUAAUAAACACGUUGGUUUAUUUGA
This is a long non-coding RNA of Peromyscus eremicus (cactus mouse), 2578 nucleotides long. RefSeq lists it as uncharacterized. The transcript has 2 exons. NCBI's taxonomy places the organism in Eukaryota, Metazoa, Chordata, Mammalia, Rodentia, Cricetidae. The record is from RefSeq and is a predicted model, not a curated record.